Bradysia coprophila is the source of this 172-nucleotide long non-coding RNA. The record is from RefSeq and is a predicted model, not a curated record. Lineage: Eukaryota; Metazoa; Arthropoda; Insecta; Diptera; Sciaridae.
GACAGAUCACAAUUUGAUAUUCACUGUAGACACUCAGUUUGAUUCUAUGUUCCAAUUUGCCUUCUAUGGCUGCAUUUCAUUGAGGAACUUAGGCGGGCUUGAUAUUCAUUUCUUAGACUUUGGAGUUUUCAAUAUUUUUCAGUAAAACUUAAUUUGACGAUACAGCGUAAUG